AAUGUGAUGGUGUGUGGAUUUUGAGAAUACCUAAAAAAAUCAUUGUGUUUUUUCUCUUGAUCCCUCUUUUGGAUCACUUACUCUGAGGGGAGGCCAGCUGCCAUGCUGUGAAAACACUCAAGCAGUCUCACAGAGUGUUCAAAUGGCAAGGUACUGAGGUGCCCUGGCAACAGCAAGGAACUGAGGCCUUCGUCCAAAGCCAUUAAGUGAGCCAUACUGGAAGCAGGUGCUCCGGUCCCUGGUGGUCUUGAGAUGACAGCAGCUUCAGUGUCUUGACUGCAACCUCAAGAAAGACCUUGAGCCAAAGCCAUCCAGGCCAUAAAAGGAGAAGGAUUUGAGGCUAAUUAUGAAAUAAUAGCCAAAACCUGAUAAAGAAGACAAAGGGCAAGCUCAGAACUGGAGACAAUGGCACAGGAAAAUGAGAAAUAAACAGCCACGUAUAGGCAGCAUUAUCAGUGGUUGCCUUACAAAGUGACAGGGGCUAAAGCAG
Long non-coding RNA from Gorilla gorilla gorilla (western lowland gorilla), 490 nucleotides. RefSeq lists it as uncharacterized. The transcript has 2 exons. The record is from RefSeq and is a predicted model, not a curated record. NCBI's taxonomy places the organism in Eukaryota, Metazoa, Chordata, Mammalia, Primates, Hominidae.